GUCUGCGGCCAUACCACCCUGAACGCACCCAAUCUCGUCUGAUCUCGGAAGCUAAGCAGGGUCAGGCCUGGUUAGUACUUGGAUGGGAAACUGCUCCUGAAAAUAUCUUACUAAGGCU
RNAcentral lists this ribosomal RNA (118 nucleotides) under Octodon degus (degu). The record is from RNAcentral. Lineage: Eukaryota; Metazoa; Chordata; Mammalia; Rodentia; Octodontidae.